Long non-coding RNA from Quercus lobata, 1044 nucleotides. RefSeq lists it as uncharacterized. NCBI's taxonomy places the organism in Eukaryota, Viridiplantae, Streptophyta, Magnoliopsida, Fagales, Fagaceae. The record is from RefSeq and is a predicted model, not a curated record. The transcript is spliced from 5 exons.
UACCCAUUACACCAGCCGUCACUCUCUUUCUCCCUCACCCUUACCCUCACCUUUGCCUCUCUCUCUCUCUCUCUCCCAGCCUCCCUCACCUAGCCUUUCUGCCGCCGCCACCACUUCCCACCCUAGCCACUGCCGUGCCCGCACCUCCUCUCCCCUUAUUCUCGACUCUCUCUCUCUCCCUCAUCCUCGCCUCUCACUCUCUCCCUCACCCUUGCCACUCUACCGCCAGCCACCACUGCCGUCGACCUACUCCUCUUCCCCUUUCCUCCUCUCAUGUCCACCUCCGCCACUAGUCUCCUCCACCGCCAAUUUUCUAGUACCUCCUCUACCCUUUGUAGUUUUUAUUUUGUAUUUUUUGUUUUUGGGUUUUUAGUUCAAUAUAUAGAGUGUGGGUUUUCUGGAACCUCCUCUACCCAUCGGUUUGGGUUUGUGCUUGUGUUUGAAAGGUGGGUUUUAUGUUGACCCAGAGGCGAAGCUCCUGUUCGGGAUACCAUGUGAUUGUCAGAAAAAUGGUUGCGUAAAGGCCUUACAGUCAUCAUCUGGAGCGGGGUAUGUUGAGUUAAACACAAAUUCUUCAUAGCAGGGAUGGGUUCUGGACAUUGGUUUAAGACGAUAAUCGGCUCAAAGAAAGGGAAGCGUGGCAGUUCAAAACAAGUAAAGGUCUACUUGCUUCUUUUGUAACUUGGAUCAGCCAAAUGCCACAGUUCGUUCUAGAGUCAGAAAUCCCAAAGUUGCCUAAGCUACUACUGGAGCUAUUGCAGUUGCUGUUGGAGUGACUACAGCUUCUGUUGGAGCUGUUGCUGUUUUUACUGGACCUGUUGCAGCUUCUGCUAGAGUUAAGGCAGUUUCUGCUGGAACCAUUAUUGGUAUUUUUGGCUAAGUUUCCUUUUCUGGAAAAUUAUAUGUUUAGUCCAUAUAUAAUUUUGAUAAGUAAUAGACUAGUUGAUUGAUAUUUGAUGAAAUUUUAGAGAUGUAAUUAUGGUCUCUUUGUGUUUUAACCAAAUCUUUGAGAGUAAAGAGAGCACUUAAUGCGAGAAGUGAGAU